CUACGGGACGCUCCAGUGGGGAAUAUUGCACAAUGGGGGAAACCCUGAUGCAGCAACGCCGCGUGGAGGAUGACACAUUUCGGUGCGUAAACUCCUUUUAUAGGUCAAGAUAAUGACGGUAGCCUAUGAAUAAGCGCCGGCUAACUCCGUGCCAGCAGCCGCGGUAAUACGGAGGGCGCAAGCGUUACUCGGAAUCACUGGGCGUAAAGAGCAUGUAGGCGGGUUAAUAAGUCAGAAGUGAAAUCCAAUAGCUCAACUAUUGAACUGCUUUUGAAACUGUUAACCUAGAGUGUGGGAGGGUAGAUGGAAUUUCUGGUGUAGGGGUAAAAUCCGUAGAGAUCAGAAGGAAUACCGAUUGCGAAGGCGAUCUACUGGAACAUUACUGACGCUGAGAUGCGAAAGCGUGGGGAGCAAACAGGAUUAGAUACCCGGGUAGUC
Molecule: ribosomal RNA, 438 nt
Filed under: uncultured bacterium
Lineage: Bacteria
Description: partial 16S ribosomal RNA
Rfam family: Bacterial small subunit ribosomal RNA
Source: RNAcentral